UAUUGGUCAAUGGGCGCAGGCCUGAACCAGCCAAGAAGCGUGAAGGAUGACUGCCCUAUGGGUUGUAAACUUCUUUUAUAUGGGAAUAAAGUGAGGAACGUGUUCCUUUUUGUAUGUACCAUAUGACUAAGGAUCGGCUAACUCCGUGCCAGCAGCCGCGGUAAUACGGAGGAUCCGAGCGUUAUCCGGAUUUAUUGGGUUUAAAGGGAGCGUAGGUGGAUUGUUAAGACAGUUGUGAAAGUUUGCGGCUCAACCGUAAAAUUGCAGUUGAAACUGGCAGUCUUGAGUACAGUAGAGGUGGGCGGAAUUCGUGGUGUAGCGGUGAAAUGCUUAGAUAUCACGAAGAACUCCGAUUGCGAAGGCAGCUCACUGGACUGUUAACUGACACUGAGGCUCGAAAGUGUGGGUAUCAAACA
RNAcentral lists this ribosomal RNA (416 nucleotides) under uncultured bacterium. Its description in RNAcentral is "bacterial SSU rRNA". It matches the Rfam family "Bacterial small subunit ribosomal RNA", at positions 362 to 774 of the family's 1533-position model. The record is from RNAcentral.